AACCGUGCAAAGGUAGCGUAAUCACUUGUCUCUUAAAUAGAGACUAGUAUGAAAGGUUAAAUGAGGGCCUAACUGUCUCUUGCGAUUAAUCAAUGAAACUGAUCUUUCAGUACAAAAGCUGGAAUACACACAUAAGACGAGAAGACCCUGUGGAGCUUUAAGCAACAUACUACCCCACCACUCACACUGGCCCUCCGGCCAGGAUAAACUUCUACAUAGUACUAGCUUUAAGUUGGGGCGACUGCGGAGAAAAACAAAACCUCCAUGAAACUCACUGCUACCGCAAAACACACAUGUUACCCAGUACACAAAUGACCCAGCACAGCUGAUUACCGAACCAAGUUACCCCAGGGAUAACAGCGCCAUCCCCUUCAAGAGUCCAUAUCGCCAAGGGGGCUUACGACCUCGAUGUUGGAUCAGGACACCUAGAUGGUGCAGCCGCUAUCAAAAGUUCGUUUGUUCAACGAUUAAUGUCCUACGUGAU
RNAcentral lists this ribosomal RNA (484 nucleotides) under Afroedura marleyi. Its description in RNAcentral is "partial 16S ribosomal RNA". It matches the Rfam family "Bacterial large subunit ribosomal RNA", at positions 1944 to 2604 of the family's 2925-position model. Lineage: Eukaryota; Metazoa; Chordata; Lepidosauria; Squamata; Gekkonidae. The record is from RNAcentral.